RNAcentral lists this ribosomal RNA (373 nucleotides) under uncultured bacterium. Its description in RNAcentral is "bacterial SSU rRNA". It matches the Rfam family "Bacterial small subunit ribosomal RNA", at positions 521 to 896 of the family's 1533-position model. The record is from RNAcentral.
UAAUACGGAGGGUGCAAGCGUUAUCCGGAUUCACUGGGUUUAAAGGGUGCGUAGGUGGGUUUGUAAGUCAGUGGUGAAAUCUCCAAGCUUAACUUGGAAACUGCCGUUGAUACUAUAGAUCUUGAAUCUCGUGGAGGUAAGCGGAAUAUGUCAUGUAGCGGUGAAAUGCUUAGAUAUGACAUAGAACACCGAUAGCGAAGGCAGCUUACUACACGAGUAUUGACACUGAUGCACGAAAGCGUGGGGAUCAAACAGGAUUAGAUACCCUGGUAGUCCACGCCCUAAACGAUGGAUACUCGACAUACGCGAUACACAGUGUGUGUCUGAGCGAAAGCAUUAAGUAUCCCACCUGGGAAGUACGACCGCAAGGUUG